Molecule: ribosomal RNA, 404 nt
Filed under: Neobacillus drentensis
Lineage: Bacteria; Bacillati; Bacillota; Bacilli; Caryophanales; Bacillaceae
Description: bacterial SSU rRNA
Rfam family: Bacterial small subunit ribosomal RNA
Source: RNAcentral
UGGGCGUAAGCGCGCGCAGGCGGUCCUUUAAGUCUGAUGUGAAAGCCCACGGCUCAUAUCCGUGGAGGGUCAUUGGAAACUGGGGGACUUGAGUGCACAAGAGGAAAGCGGAAUUCCACGUGUAGCGGUGAAAUGCGUAGAGAUGUGGAGGAACACCAGUGGCGAAGGCGGCUUCCUGGUCUGUAACUGACGCUGAGGCGCGAAAGCGUGGGGAGCAAACAGGAUUAGAUACCCUGGUAGUCCACGCCGUAAACGAUGAGUGCUAAGUGUUAGAGGGUUUCCGCCCUUUAGUGCUGCAGCUAACGCAUUAAGCACUCCGCCUGGGGAGUACGGCCGCAAGGCUGAAACUCAAAGGAAUUGACGGGGGCCCGCACAAGCGGUGGAGCAUGUGGUUUAAUUCGAAG